CCUUUGUCGGUUCCAGGUGAUGGUUAGAUUUUACCAUAAGUUCUGGCAAUUUCAUUUUGUUAUCAGCUGUUUGCUGCAACAUAACAACUUGCUUAAACUUGUAGAUGCUUUAUAAUUUACUUUCUUGCAGGCAACUUCUUUGAUCAUUGAGGCUACAGCUUGGUGCUCUGUGCUUAUUAUGAUAGGACUGGAAGCAAAAAGUUACAUCAGGGAGUUUCGGUGGUAUGUGCGUUUUGGGGUAUUUAUGGUCGGGGAUGCUGUGCUUCUCAAUCUCAUUCUACCAGUGAAGGAUUUGUACAGUAGGUUAGAUUCCUCCCAUUCCUCAAUUUAGUUCGUUUACCAUAAGCCUCUUAAAAAAUAAAAUUCUAUGAACAUUUUUUUUUGGGGGGGGGGGGUUGGGGGGGAGUUAGUGUUGUAAUAUGAGCUAAUUAUUUAUGAUUUGUGAUCCUUUUCUCAUAUACAUGUUCUUUUAUAAGCCUCACCUCAUCCCAUGAAUAUUAUUGGAUCAUUUAGUAAAUGUUUGUUUAUAAAUCUCUAAGCAAAAAUAUCUUACUGGUUUUGGAAGAGUCAUAUAUUAGGGUGAAGCAUAGUUAUCCUUUUUUUUUCUUUCAUUAUCACACACCAUUAUUUGUAGAAGAGCCCACCAUCAGCAGUAAUGACUCUUUUAACUGCUAAAAUUAUGUAAUAAAGAAAUUUGACCAUAGAAAACUAUUUUGGAUUAGAUAGACACUUUCAUACAUUUGUGAACGAUUGAUUAGUUGGAGAUGUGGACUUAUAUCCUUGAAGGGAAAAGACUUUUCUCAAGCUUUUUCAUUCUUAUUUUUUUUGCCCCCUGAGUUUAUAGAAUCUAGUCCAUUUACAUGGGUCAACAGUACAGUCACACUGACAAGUUUAUUUGCUCAUGCAGCUAUGUGUUGUAUUUGAGCAUCAGCUUGGUUUUCUGUUAGGUUUGUUGUGUAUAUUUGCCUUUUAUCGUACUCAUUUUUCCUAUAUCUUUAUAAAAGUAGUCUUUACCUGCUUUUAUAUUUUCCUUGGUGUCAUAUUGGCUGUCCUAAUCUUAUGUAGCUGCUUGAAAUCUGGCUAAAAGUGUCAUUAGCAAAUUGUGUUGUACAAAAAAAUUAACGAAAGUUAUAAAGGGACAUAACUCUCUCUCCUUUUCACAAUCUUCCUACUACCCAUGCCCUCUGGAAAUAUUAGCAUCACCUCUUUUUCCAAAUAUUCAUUACAUUGGCCACUUACAUAUCUGCUUUUAGUUGACAUGACUUAACAUCAUUUUAGGUUUACAUGACUUAGCAUCAUUUUAGCCCACCUCCUCCCUUUUUUGGUUUAAAACUUAAAAGUUAGCAUUCUUCUCACUUUCAUUGAUUGACAAAAAUAUGCUAGGUCUUGAAACCAAAGUGGAGAAAAAAUUUAAGCCUGAUUUAAGUAGCAUGACUAGUUUUUUGUCUAGAAUGUUGCUAGACCAUUGAGGCCAUUAUAAUUUCUUGGAAUUUGAUGUAACUAAAUUCAAGCUUCUGGUCAAAUGUUAAUACUUAAUAGGACAGUCUAAAAUUAAAUCUUUUGGGACAGAAAAACCUGGACAGUUCUUUGACUUAGCUUGUUAAUGCUUUUGUCUUCAAGUCAUUUUAAGUCAGUUUCAUUUAUUUGUGCUUAUUUUCUGAUGUAGGUUUUAUUUGGGAUUCUUCUAGUUGUUUAUGUUCGUAACCUCCAUCCGUCUCCUGGGUAUGUUUUGAUACAAAAUGAGUCUCUUGAUGAUGAAGAAUAUGAACCACUUCCUGAAGGAGAGCAAAUAUGUCCCGAAAGGCAUGCCAGCAUUAUUUCAAGUAAGUACUCUGAUUGAUUGAUUAUGAUACCACAAGUUUGAAAAGUUCAAAUGGUUGCAGGUUGCUAGUUAUUUUUAGAAAAGCAGCAUUUUGAUGUAACUAUAACAGGGUAAUUACUUGGAUAGACUGUGAAUAAGGACUGAUGUUAUAGCAAUAUAUGCAAGUCUUGGGAUUGGGAUGUUUACAUUUUGAAAAGAAUAUACGACUGUACGUAUGUGAGUUUGAAAAGUUCAAAUUGCUGCAGGUUUGCUAGUUAUUUGUAGAAAUACCAUUUCGAUGGAACUAUAUCUAGGUAAUGACUUGGCUAGACUGUGAAUAAGUAACUUUGUUAUUGUAAAAUGUGCAAGUCUUGGAUGUUCUACAUUGUGAAAAGAAUAUAUAUCCUCGGUCUAUGUUGCUUGGACUCAAGAGGAAAUGUCAGACAUGGGUAUGUGUUCAACAUAGGUACAUUCAAUUUUUUUCUAGAACUUCCCUAAUAUUUGGAGGGUUGAAAUCUCAAUGCCCCUUACCCAUGUCCACUUUGAAGUGUCAGGAUACAUGUUUAACAAGGGUACUUUGGGAAAAUUGAAGUCAGAGCAACAUAGCCCUUGAAUUUAUUUUAUUUAUUUAUUUAUUUGCUUUUGGGUUCUUUCACCUAUGUAAUUUAUUCUUGCCCAUCCUCCCCCCUUUUUUCUCUGCAAAGGGCCAUUUAGUAAGAUAUGGUCAGUGGGGAUGCACUAGGAAAGACAGUUUGGACUGUUCUACCAAAUUUAAACAUUUUCUAUUAUUUUGCAAAGAUCAGUUUUGGACUAAUUGUUGGUAAGUGAUGCGUUACUAUGAACUUGUGAGCUUCUAAUUAAAAGUUUGUUGCAAUAUGCUAUGGCAGAAAUAUCUUUCGGAUGGAUUAAUCCACUCAUGUGGCAAGGGUAUAGAAGACCUCUCACUGAAAGGGAUGUUUGGAAGUUAGAUAAAUGGGAUCAGUCUGAAACAUUGAUUCAGAAGUUGGCAUUCUGUUGCUUCCCUUGGAUUUGCUUCCACAUGAAAAUUCAUAUGGUCACUCAACGAUAGCAAUUUCUACCUUUGCAGGUUCAUUAGAUGUUGGGCCAAAGAAACUCAAAGAUCUAAGACAUGGCUUUUGAGAGCAUUGAAUAGUAGCCUGGGAGGAAGGUUAGUUAGCUAUGUGGUUACAUUUUUUCUCUUCCUUUAUAAUUAGUGGUGAUAUGCAUCCUGAAGAAUUUCUUUGCUAAGUGUAGAUGUCAUCUUGUCCUAAUUAUCUUAACUCUCUUUUUUUGAUAAAUGAGUCAUGCAGGUUUUGGUUGGGAGGUAUUUUUAAGGUGAUCAGGGCUGCCAAAAUAAUUAUUGUGAUGUGAGUAUGUUUGUUGAGCUAGCUCUCAGACAAUUAAAAUAAAUAAAAGAGUAAAAUGGUCAAAUAACAGGCAUAAAUGAUCAUAGACUUGUAAUUUAAGACUUCUUAUUUGUUGAUUAUAUAAAAUAUGAGCAUGUAGCUAUGCUCAUGGAAGAAAUUUUUUCUAAUUUAAUGUAAUCAUGAUAACUAUAUUACCAUAGCUCUACUUGCUCCAUAUUGUCAUGUUACCAAAGCUCAAUUUGCUGGCAGUGGCUUGCAAAGGCACUGGGUUGUUCAACCAACUUAUUUCAGUAAAGAUGCCAAUAAUCUGCUGACAUGUUGAGAAUGUAUUCUGGAAAUCAACAUAGAGUUUUAUUUUUUUUUUUUUAUGUUGAAAGGAAAAGAUUUACUGAAUUCUGUGGUCAGACUAAUCUGGAUUAAUUUAAAUUAUUACAUAAACUUCAACCAGGUUCAGCAAGAGAUAUAACAUUGGCAUGCAUAAGAUUAAUGGAAUUGAAGGUGGCAGUUAAAGUAAAAUCAGGUGCUUGUGUAAACAGUCUAUUGAACUCCAUGUCUGUUAAGUUUGUUAUGAUGUCUAAAGCAAAAUUACUUUUAAUGCAUAUAACCAUCUGUAAUUGAAACAACAUAUAUUUUGUAUAUAUUAUAUAAAACAAGAGAAGGUGAAGUGUUGAUGAAACAAUUCUGCUUCAUCCUUGUCAAAGGUUUUUGGAUGGGUGGGGAGAAUUUCAGUGUUGGGCAGAGACAAUUAUUGUGUCUUGCUCAAGCAUUGCUGCGAAGGUCAAAGAUUCUUGUUCUUGAUGAAGCAACUGCAGCAGUUGAUGUUAAGACUGAUGCUUUUAUCCAGCAAACCAUUCGUGAAGAAUUCAAAUUCGCACAAUGCUAAUUAUAGCUCACAGAAUAAAUACCAUCAUUGACUGUGACCGGAUUCUUGUGCUUGAUGUCGGUCAGGUGUGCCUUCUCGCUUAUUGAUAUUCUUGGAUAUUUCUGUGUCUUUUUUUUUUGCUUUCUGCAAAUUUUCCAAAUUUAGUAGACAUCUUGUAGCUAUGAUAUCCAUAAGGCAAGAUUGACUCUUUUCCAGGAAUGGCUUGGUAAAUUCUUGCUUAAUAUAUGAAGACUUUUUCUAUGCUAUGAUUAAGUGUUCUUUUUUUCAAUUGGGAAAAUAGAAGAUACUCAUUAGUGGUGACUAGCUAACUUCUGAUGCUGCUCUUUCAGGUUCUAGAGCACAAUACUCUAGAGGAACUGCUAGCUAAUGAAGAAAGCACAUUCUCUAAAAUGGUUCAAAGCACACAGCCUGCUAAUGCAGAUAGAUAACUUCUGAUGCUGCUCUUUCAGGUUCUAGAGCACAAUACUCUAGAGGAACUGCUAGCUAAUGAAGAAAGCACAUUCUCUGAAAUGGUUCAAAGCACACGGCCCGCUAAUGCAGAAUAGUACGUAGCUUAGUUUUUGGAGGUGAGGAGAAUAGGUUGAGUAUAGAACAUGCCACGGGGUUCGAUGGUCAGAUGAGAUGGCAGGCAUCAUCCCGCUGGGCUGCUGCUGCACAGUUUGCCCUAGCUGUUAGCCUCACUUCUUCACAGAAUGACCUUCUAAGGUUUGAUAUUGGAGAAGAUAUGAGCAAUAUCGUCCAGAAAACUGAAGAUGCGGUCACAACACAGCAGGGUGUUUUGGAGGGAAAGCAUGAUGAAGUUAUAGAUGAUAUGCUUCACCAGCACCAAGUUCGCAGAGAUGGAUGGUGGUCAGCUUUUUACAGAAUAAUUGAAGGUACGCAUGUAGUAAUUUCUUAUACACGUAAACUCCUAACAAAAUCACAAAUCAGACAAGUUAGCAUAAGCUUGUGUAUCUUGGUGGUGCAUACCUUCUUUUUAUGUUGUCAGUGAUAUUUAGUUUACUUGAUUAUUGGAUGACAGACGGGAUUAAAAAGGCACAUGAUUAUUGGAUAACUUAAUUUCUCAGCAUUACAGAAAUUAGUAGUGGUAGCCAAAAUCUCUGACAAUUGAUAGAUAGCCCACAUCUUUUGAAUCCAGGAGAACAGUAGAAUAUACUGCUCCUUUUCAAAAUGGAUGUUCCUAGUGAUUUAAAUGUUCUUUUCACUGUUGUUCUAGCAAAUACUAUAUUUUGAAAAGGAAUAGUAUGACUCCCCUACGGUCUCCUGUGGAAGAAUGGCUCCCUCAACUACAAAAAUGUGAAACAAUAAUAUCGUUCACCAGUACGCAAAACACUACCCAGACAAUAGUAAUCAUAGCAUGGGUCCAAUCCUAAUGCGUACUGGAAUAAAGUUUUGUUUUAUUCAUGGUCAAUGAUUGAUUGAUUCUCUGUUUCAGGUCUUGCUGCAAUGAGCAGGUUAGCUCAACAUAACAGGCUCAACAAUCAGAGUUCUACUCCGAAGCCAGAUCCAUAGAUUGGGAUGAUAUUGAAAUAUAAGCAGAUAACUAGAGGUAAAUAUUUUAAUAAAAGAUUGGAGCGGACAGCUGCAUCUUGAUGAGCCCGAUAGUAAAAUGUCAAUUUUAUAAUGUCUGAUAUUCCAAAUGGGGAGGAAAGGAACUCAAUUGCCGUGCCACGUAAUUUUAAACGAGCAUGUGGCUCCUUGAUUGAUUUGGUGUUGUGACUCAAUUAUGUGAUUCUAAAUAAGUUUAUUGGAAUUCGAAACAAAGCCUGCAGCCCUGCACCUGAAUGAACCAUGACAAUUCAUUUUUGGUGGUGGGACUUUGGAUUUUCCUCUCACGAAAUACAUGAUUAUUUGUUGGGGGCUGUAUGGCUGUGUUGUACGAUGAACAACAAUGAAUCAAAUGGCAUCAAACAUCGAAUUAAUGGCUUGAUGAGGAAAGUACCCCAUAUUAGCCGCUUCAUUGUAGCAUUCAACUGUUAUCCGCAUUAGAAGUCGACUGAUCAACCAUCAAAAAACUUGAAAUAGGAUUCUUUUGUCGUGCUCCGCCAAGAUCAUCAUCGCUAGCAGUGAUGGAUGAAAGUGACAAUUCCCUGCACAUGGUUUUGUUUCCUUAUCGUUAAUUUCUACCCUCAUUCCUCAAACAUGUACGAUGUCAACUGUCAAAUCAAAUAUAUUUUAACACUUAACAGAAAGAAGAGGAGCAUUUCCACAGAAAGUGAUAAUCAACAGAACCAGUCUUAUGAUAAUUCAGUGAAGUAGAAAAACAACAUUAUAUCGGAAUUUUUCAUGACACUUUUUGGUCAAAUUUCCAUUUAAUGUUUUGCAGUGUGAAAUUAUACAAGCUAAUAUAAUCAAAACUUCACUGAUUAAAAACAUUUAUCUUUCUCUAAAGUUGCAAAACAUCUAUGCCUUCUCAAUUUAUGUUGAAGUGGUAUGAAAUUAAUCCUUUGUUGACAUUGGAGGUGCUAGUUUCUUUCUUAAUGAGAAUGUACAUUGAAUUUGAUUGGUUGAACCUUGAUCCAGGCCCUUGGGGUGUUAUGUGAAGCUCAAUAUUUUCAGAAUGUCAUGCGUGUUGGAUUUCGGCUGAGAUCUACUUUGGUAAACUUGUCUUUAUCUCGGAAACAAUUUAUUUCAUUCAGUUUUGCUUGUCUUUUGGAUUACGAAGAGGCUUAUUUAUUUCUUUUCCUUUUAUUUUCUUCAUGUGUGGGAGAUGUUGUUGAAGGGAUGGUUGAGAGUGCCUUUGUCUCAUUGAUAAUGACCUUACAUCCUCAGUACUUUUAAAUCUUUCAUUUUAGCUUUCUACAUUUGGAAUUUGUCUUUUCUGGAAGAAUUGUUUGGCGAGUCUAGCUUAGCUAAUUUAUUAUUUGGCUGCUGAAAUUAUCUGCUUCUUGUUCGCAUUUACAUUGGUCAUCCUGUUGCCAGAAUUUUGCUUUUCGUUCUGCCAUCAAAGAAUUUAGCCCGGCCUUGAGAGGCCCCAUCUUGGUUUUAAGCCAAUGACUAUUGCAUUAUGUUUCAUAAUUCUGAACUGCAUGUUACAUUGGUGUAAUUGUAGGUUAUGUGUAGCUCUUGCUUUUUAUCACUGCAUAUUACUGCAAUGUCUCCCUGUCUGGAACAAUAGGUCAGAUAUUCCUUCAUAUGGCUUUCCAUAACUGGAUAUUUUCGUAGAAAAUUUUCCAAAGUUUCCAGCGAGGAUGUUAACCUUGAAUCUUUAUUAGAUAAUAAUGUUAACCAUGAAUCUUUGUUAGAUAAUCAUACAUUUUGUAACUUUUUUUUGCGUACAAAGUUUGCACCCCAUAACUUUGACAUACAUGAUUUUUUUUUUUUUAAAUAAGAAAAAUAUUAUUAUCAUUUUAUUCUAUCCUGUGAGUUUUGGCAAUGGGAAUAAUAUGGAGCCAAUUUCCUUCUUAUAUUUGUGAAUGCCGAAUUUUAAUUUAUUGAAACUGCUUCUGAAAAAAAAAAAAAAAAAAAACAGUGUUUGAAUUAUUGGAGGAUGAAAAAGAGUUGGAAAGUUAAAUGGGAUUAAAAAAAAAAUUUGGCCAUUUGGGCUCAAGCGAGGAGAAAUCUCUUUAAGAAAAUAAAGAUAAUGAUUAUUUUUUAUUCUUUAGGAUAAAAAGUUAUGGGCCGGAUUAAUUAGUAUUUGUUAAUGGCCCAUUUAACCCAAUUAAAGUUCAAUUUUUUUAUGCGUUCAAUAUGACCGUUAGUUCCUUCCCCUUUUAAAGGCGGUGAUGCGUGGCACUAGAAAAAAAUUACCGGGCAAGUAACCGCCAUCUAUUUAUAAAUAGUUUUUACAGACCAAAGAAAAAAUAUUGGUUGCUCAGUUCUUUACUUUUACUUUUAAUUUAGGUUUUGUAAAAGCGCUAGGGUUAGGGAUUGAAGAGAGAGGAAAAAGAGGUAAACAAAGACGAGAAAGACGAGGCAAAGGAAACUGUGAAAUUUUCUGUCUUUCUUAAUUAGUAAUCGUCUCUAUUGAUCUUCCAUUUUACUUUUGUAGUGUUUUACAAUUAUCUUUUAAACGGAAACUUUCUUUUACAAUUUCCAAUUUUUAUUUUCGGUAAAGAAAUAUCUUAAGAAAGAGUCGUGAACACAAUCUAUGUUUUAUUGGAGUAUUAUUUUUUAACUGUCAUUGUCGUUUCGCUAAUAAUAGUACAAGUGUGUCAGCGUAAGCCGUGACGCUUGCUGGCCUAUAUAUAUAUAUAUAUAUAUAUAUUUGUCUUGUCUCAUCCACAACUUUUUUUUUAUCCUUCUUUUUCUAAUGAUGCAAGGGUGUCUUACUUAUUCUUUGACUUGUUUUCAGACCAUAUAUAUACGUAAGUAACCAUGCAUCCGAAGUACAGCAAGCUAGUCCUCUCCAUCAGAAUCUAUCUUGGGUUCCUUGAAUUUCUUCUCAUAGUUUUACUACUUAAAGACUUUCAACUACGACGCUACCGUCCUGUCCCUGUCCUACAGGUAUCAAUCUUAUUUCCUUUCGUUAUUGUUCUGUUAGGUUGCAGGGAGAUGAAACUUGAAAGACAAGUAUGAGCUUUUGGAUUUCAUAUUGCUUAGAAGUGGAACAGUUUAAUGGUUUACGGUUCCACUGAGACUUUUGCUUCGUAUACUCUUUUUUUUGUUGAAACUUGAAUCUUUAAUCUCAUUUUCGUUUUAUGGUUUACACUUUACGAAGGUUCUGUAAUAUCAGAGAUCAAAAUGGUUUGUGUUCCUUUAUUCCUGGAAUUGGUUUUAGUUGCAAAUUAACCUUUUUUUUAUUUUGUAUAUUCGAAUCUUGGUUAUAAAUUUAACUUUUGUCUGUAUUAUUUGUGUUGAGAUGUCUACAAUUAUCAUUUGCUACAAUUUUGUUUAAUGUUGAAGCAUGAGUGCGGGUUGUUCUCAAUGCAGAUAGGACAUUGUGUUGAAGAGUAAAGAUUGUGCUAUAAAAUUUCCUUUUACAUUUCUCUCUUCUGAAGGAGAAGAUAAGUUCAGUAAAUAUCUAAUCAAUUUUAUGUCUUUAAGGGUGGUGGCUAGUGAUGGCGUUUGAACCGUUGGUUUGGUAUUGUCAGCCAGUGGAAAAUGCGGCUUGGACAAAAGUGGUUGCCGGUGCUUUUGGUGCAUACACACCUUGUGCUAUCGACUCUGUGGUGAUUUCCAUUUCUCACUUGGUUCUUUUGGGCCUGUGUUGUUAUCGUAUAUGGUUGAUUAAGAAGAGCUCCAAAGUCCAGAGGUUUUCUUUGAGGUCAAAAUGCUAUAGUUAUAUGCUUGGUUUGUUGGCUGGUUAUUCUACCAUCGAGCCAUUACUAAAGUUGUUGAUGGGUAUUUCGAUCUUUAAUUUGAAUGGAGAAACUGGUCUUGCUCCCUAUGAGGUAACUUUCUGUUACAACUAGUAGUUGACACCCUUCUUAUUCAUUGCCUCAGGAAAAUUUUAUAGGUACUGGUUUAAAAUGAGGUUCUGCAUUUUAAGUUAAAAUAUUGUAGGACUAUUAUGGCUAUAAAAACAGACCAUUGUUUGUUAGGCUGGAAUUUAUUUGCUGUUGUUUCCAUCACAUUUUACUUCCUUUUGUUGGUUCCUAAUGGUUGAUGGUUAAAUUUUACCAUAAGUUCUGGCAAUUUCAUUUUAGUUAUCAGCUUUGCUUGAACAAAACAACUUGCUUAAACUCGUAUAAUGCUUUAUACAUUUACUCUCUUUGCAGGCAACUUCUUUGAUCAUCUGAGGCACAGCUUGGUUGCUCCUGUGCUUAUUAUGAUAGGACUAGAAACAAAAAGUUACAUCAGGGAGUUUCGGUGGUAUGUGCGUUUUGGAGUUGUUUAUG
RNAcentral lists this long non-coding RNA (9831 nucleotides) under Durio zibethinus. RNAcentral's name for it is "long non-coding RNA (DZIB_LNC000701)". The record is from RNAcentral. Lineage: Eukaryota; Viridiplantae; Streptophyta; Magnoliopsida; Malvales; Malvaceae.